RNAcentral lists this ribosomal RNA (483 nucleotides) under uncultured bacterium. RNAcentral's name for it is "bacterial SSU rRNA". It matches the Rfam family "Bacterial small subunit ribosomal RNA", at positions 328 to 803 of the family's 1533-position model. The record is from RNAcentral.
GAAUUCAACUCCUACGGGAGGCAGCAGUAGGGAAUCUUCCGCAAUGGACGAAAGUCUGACGGAGCAACGCCGCGUGAGUGAUGAAGGUUUUCGGAUCGUAAAACUCUGUUGUUAGGGAAGAACAAGUAUGAGAGUAACUGCUCGUACCUUGACGGUACCUAACCAGAAAGCCACGGCUAACUACGUGCCAGCAGCCGCGGUAAUACGUAGGUGGCAAGCGUUGUCCGGAAUUAUUGGGCGUAAAGCGCGCGCAGGCGGUCCUUUAAGUCUGAUGUGAAAGCCCACGGCUCAACCGUGGAGGGUCAUUGGAAACUGGGGGACUUGAGUGCAGAAGAGAAGAGUGGAAUUCCACGUGUAGCGGUGAAAUGCGUAGAGAUGUGGAGGAACACCAGUGGCGAAGGCGACUCUUUGGUCUGUAACUGACGCUGAGGCGCGAAAGCGUGGGGAGCAAACAGGAUUAGAAACCCUAGUAGUCCAGGCGUU